This is a long non-coding RNA of Salvia miltiorrhiza (redroot sage), 1003 nucleotides long. RefSeq lists it as uncharacterized. Lineage: Eukaryota; Viridiplantae; Streptophyta; Magnoliopsida; Lamiales; Lamiaceae. The transcript has 2 exons. The record is from RefSeq and is a predicted model, not a curated record.
UCCCCAACCCGGCGCUGCCCCUUGCCACCAUCAUACGCCGGCGCCCGCCGUUCCCUCUCCUUCCCCCACCAUCCGCCCUCUGCCGCCGCCGCCACCGAUUGCGCACGCGGCACCCCUCCACUUCACCCCACCCCCUUGCCAAUCCCUACCUCCACCGGCCUCUCCAUUACCCACCUUCACCGGAUCCUUCCAUUUUUCCCCACCGGCCCCGAGCCCAUCGGGCAAUACAGAGGCCGUGGUCCUUAGAAACGCGAAAUUGCAGAGGCCCACCCAACAACGGAGGAGGGUAUGGAUUUGAGUUUUGGAUUUGAAGAAAAAUCAAGCCCUAAUCCAUAGUCGAUUUUUGAGGACUGAAUCAGAGAAUGGUGCACCUCCUCGUCCUCGCCGUGUAUCGCCUCCCCGCUGGCAUCUGGAGGAAGAAAUGAGAAAUGAGAAAAAACCGCUGCCAAAAUCAUCGGCAAACUCGAAUCUGAAUUUCAAUCGUGGUUGUUGCAGUACGUGAUGGUGGUGGUGAAUGGAGGUGUGCCGAUUUCAUUUGGUGGGACGAAGGAGUCGGAUGGCGAAUUGAGGCGGCGGGUUGGGAAGGGGGCAGGGGCAGCGGCGCUGCUCUUCCUGUUCUCUGCUGAUGGGGAGGCGGCGGCGUGUUGGGGGAGGGGAGGUGGCGGCGGAAGGGCGGCGCCUGUGGUGGUGGCAGGGGGGAGGCGGCGGCGGGUUUGGGGAGGGAAAUUAGGGUUUGAGAUUGGGGGUUUGGAGAAGAUGAUAAUGAUGUGGAUUUUUUUUCCACAUGUCAUAAUAUGCUUAGGUGUCAAUUUCCGGCUGCCAUCGUGUCGUUUCCGGCGCCGGGAUAAGAAAAAAAUCGUUCAUCGGACAAAAACGAGACAAAAACAAAAGGUUAUGUAUUUAAAAGCAGAUUUUCCAAAUUAGGAGCAAAAACCAAUUCCGUGGAAACGUUAUGGAUUUAUAGGCAAUUAACCCUUCUAAUUUUAGCCUUUUUACUGUUUUC